Molecule: long non-coding RNA, 1562 nt
Organism: Anolis carolinensis (green anole)
Lineage: Eukaryota; Metazoa; Chordata; Lepidosauria; Squamata; Anolidae
Source: Ensembl
AUGCGGAACAUUUUUUGCAUUAGCAUCAUCAUCAGCAGGAACAAAGGUUCCUCUUCACACGGAGGGAAGAGGGAAGGGCGGCAGUGGAAGGAAGGCGGCACUGCCUUGGAAAUGGCAGAGGGUUUUCCUCCCUCUCCUUCCAAUUGGGCUCAGCCAUUCCACAGCCUCACGCCCAGAAGUGUGGGCGGCAAUGGGCCACACCAUUGCAGACACACCAGGGUGGGUGGGUAUGGUGUAUCCUUAUCCGCUGUGGCACUUUGUAAAGGGGAAGGGGAGGGGGUAGCGUGAGGGAAUAACGGGCCUCCUUUCCCUCCCUCUCUCAAGCGGCUCCUUGUUCAGCUGAUUGGUGGAUUUUUUCCUUCACGCAGGAGGGGGUGGGGCCAGGGGAGGUUUUUUUUGUGCAUGAGCAGUAUUGCCUUUUAGCUUUUUUGGAUGAUCAAGUCCUUGUUGUUGUGUGGGGUUUUGUUUUUUUUUUUAGUUUUUUGAGUGAUGGGCACUCAUUGGAUUGAUAGGUGUAUUGUGUCCAAAUUUCAUGUCUAUUUGUCCAGUGGUUUUUGAGUUAUGUUCCACCCAUGAAUGAACAUUACACUUUUAUAUAUAUAGAUGUCCAAAAGGUAAGACUGCAAACUUAGUGCUCAUUUGGCUGUCAUGCCUAUAUUUAUUGAUUUUAACAUACUGGAUCAUUUUACUAUGAGCGAAUUGAAUUCUGUUUGGUCUCCAUUUAACGAUCAAUAGAUUAAGCUGAGUGAGAGACCAUCCAAACUGUAGUUAUAGCAGUAUGUCACCAUCGUAACUACCUUGGCUCCAUUCUAUAGAAUCUCUAGAUUUGUAGUUUAUUCUGGGACAAGAGCUCUCUGACAGAUAAGAGAAAAUAUUUCACAAAACAACAAAUCUCAAAAUUCUAUAGCAUUGAGCCAUGACAGUUAAUGGGGUACUAUAAUUCUGCAUUGUGGAUACAGCCUUGGUUUGUUAGUGUCAUGUUAUUUAAAAUGUAUAUAUCAAAUUUUCUACUACGGGGGUGGCAUUGGAAGCAGCCUACAGCUAAUUAUGAAACCCAUGAAACAAAGGCUAUUAUUUAUAUUAGAGUUGUACAACUAUGCUGACUAUUUAAAAUGAUGUAUGUCAGCCUGCUUGAAUCUAAAUAUCUUUAAGGGAGAGCAAGGAAUCUCAUCAUCUUCACAGGCCUGUCUAGUGAGGACAUGGUUUUCUUGUGUUAAUAGAUGAAGAAGCCCUUGUCUAAAAGCAUCAGAUCACAUAUGAUCUUGGAAGCUAAGCAGAGUUGGAUCUGGUUAGUACUUGGAUGGGACACUGCCAAUGAAUAUCAAGGUUUAUAGGCCAAUGCAAUUUUCUGAAUCAGUAUCCCAAAUAACCCCAGGAACAGGCCUAAAAAUGAAGACACCAAGGCACCCCCACUUCCAGGUGCCACAUGCAAUUGCUCUGCUCAGGGGGAGGGAGGGGGAGGAGAAGCAGCAGUCAGGAGGCUUGUUGUCGUGCCUUUCAUGGGUAGUCAGCCUCUCCCCUCCUGACCUCCCCAUUGCCUAUAAGAGGGUUUCACAAAACCA